AGAGCGGCAAUGGCUCUAUAUAAACAGGGCAGCCACAGGGAGGAGGAACACAAGGAGCAGGGAGACAGAAAGGCAGGGGAAGCCAUGAUGGAUCUCACAGAGACACAAACAAGGGGGCCAAGCCUGCACCGUAACCGCCCGGACUCGGGGUUUGUCGGCAGCUUUUUGGGGCUGCAGCUGCUGCCAUUGUGGCCUUGAGGGUCACUCCCUCCACACCCAUGGAACAUCUGAGCCAGAUAAGGAGGAGAAAGAAGAGGACUCGGGAUGACACAUUCCAGGAGAUGCUGCCAGUGUUGCAUCAGAGAACGACACCAGGGCCUGGAGGAUGACCCUUGCAGACAGCAUGCAGAAGGCAAGAGUGGUUAGAAAAAAGGCCCGGGAGUUCAAGCAGGAAAAGGAGAGGGAGAUGCACCAGGACAUAAUGGGGCUUCUCAGGCAGCAAACAGAGAUGUUGCGGACUCUGGUAGACCUACGCUCAAGAGUCUUGUGCUGACCGCCCUCUGCAGCCUAUAGACAACUCAAUGUCUGGACCUCCCUACACCUCCCCUCAACAUUCCACAUGGCAUCAAGGGCUGCUGCAUUACCCCUACCACUCCACCUGGGGAACAUUAAAGACAAUCACAACUGCACCUACGCUGACCUGUGAAAGACAUGGUUGGUGUAUGUGUACCUGAAAUGGAAAUGACUGUUUUUUCCCCUUCAUAAUUUCUGUUCCCUUAAUUUAUUAUGGUUUAUAAAGUGCUAAAUGGGUGUUUUAUUUUC
Long non-coding RNA from Chrysemys picta bellii (western painted turtle), 762 nucleotides. RefSeq lists it as uncharacterized. Lineage: Eukaryota; Metazoa; Chordata; Testudines; Emydidae. The record is from RefSeq and is a predicted model, not a curated record.